This is a non-coding RNA of Ciona intestinalis (vase tunicate), 734 nucleotides long. NCBI's taxonomy places the organism in Eukaryota, Metazoa, Chordata, Ascidiacea, Phlebobranchia, Cionidae. The record is from RefSeq and is a predicted model, not a curated record.
UCUAUAUAUCGAAAUCAAUUAUAGUCACAAGUGACGGCGGUCCGGUGAAAUGCUUCCUGUAGCCGCGCAAUAUAGGGAAGCUCUGUACGUGGGCGAUAUAAAACAGUUCGACGCAGAAGCUUGAAGCAUAUGCGGUUUACCUGUACACGCCGAGGGCCAAGUCAUUCUAUAUAUUAAGGAAGAUACUAACUGUGUAAUUGUAAACGGCUGUGUGGUGUUAUAAUGGCAUGUAUUACUGUGGUAAUAUUUACUGCGGAACAACAAGAAAAGCUUUUAGCUGUGGCCGCAGCCAGCGAUACAAACUUUCAGCAUCUCGAUGACGUCAUAAGGAUUUCAAUGGAUAAAGCAGGAUAUACGCUCGACUCGUUCAACGCAAAACAAUACCAUUACACAUUUUUAUACGAAAAGUGGCAGUACUCUAUCACCAAGCAUUUGGUAUUAACAAGUCAAAUAAUUGGACGACUUGAAGAAAAGGGAUACAGAUACAAACUCACAACAGUUCGUUCCGACAGCGAGCAACUGGUUUUUGUAAAAUCCUGAAGUGUCAAAUUCUACUGUUACAAACAUAUUAACCUAUAGUGCUUUAAAUUGUCGCUGCAUUUUUUGUGAAAGCUUCCUUAGUUGUGGAAGUUAUACAAACUUAAGUUUAAUUUGUUAUAAUGUUUGUGUGGUGUUAUGCAGAGCCCGUUAACAUGUUUAUAUACGGACUCGUUUAAUGUGUUGGAUUAUAAACA